UUACUGGGCGUAAAGCGCAUGCAGGUGGUUUGUUAAGUCAGAUGUGAAAGCCCGGGGCUCAACCUCGGAAUAGCAUUUGAAACUGGCAGACUAGAGUACUGUAGAGGGGGGUAGAAUUUCAGGUGUAGCGGUGAAAUGCGUAGAGAUCUGAAGGAAUACCGGUGGCGAAGGCGGCCCCCUGGACAGAUACUGACACUCAGAUGCGAAAGCGUGGGGAGCAAACAGGAUUAGAUACCCUGGUAGUCCACGCCGUAAACGAUGUCUACUUGGAGGUUGUGGCCUUGAGCCGUGGCUUUCGGAGCUAACGCGUUAAGUAGACCGCCUGGGGAGUACGGUCGCAAGAUUAAAACUCAAAUGAAUUGACGGGGGCCCGCACAAGCGGUGGAGCAUGUGGUUUAAUUCGAUGCAACGCGAAGAACCUUACCUACUCUUGACAUCCAGAGAACUUUCCAGAGAUGGAUUGGUGCCUUCGGGAACUCUGAGACAGGUGCUGCAUGGCUGUCGUCAGCUCGUGUUGUGAAAUGUUGGGUUAAGUCCCGCAACGAGCGCAACCCUUAUCCUUGUUUGCCAGCGAGUAAUGUCGGGAACUCCAGGGAGACUGCCGGUGAUAAACCGGAGGAAGGUGGGGGACGACGUCAAGUCAUCAUGGCCCUUACGAGUAGGGCUACACACGUGCUACAAUGGCGCAUACAGAGGGCGGCCAACUUGCGAAAGUGAGCGAAUCCCAAAAAGUGCGUCGUAGUCCGGAUUGGAGUCUGCAACUCGACUCCAUGAAGUCGGAAUCGCUAGUAAUCGUGGAUCAGAAUGCCACGGUGAAUACGUUCCCGGGCCUUGUACACACCGCCCGUCACACCAUGGGAGUGGGCUGCAAAAGAAGUAGGUAGUUUAACCUUCGGGGGGACGCU
RNAcentral lists this ribosomal RNA (905 nucleotides) under Vibrio sp. Its description in RNAcentral is "bacterial SSU rRNA". It matches the Rfam family "Bacterial small subunit ribosomal RNA", at positions 551 to 1454 of the family's 1533-position model. The record is from RNAcentral. Lineage: Bacteria; Pseudomonadati; Pseudomonadota; Gammaproteobacteria; Vibrionales; Vibrionaceae.